AGAGAUGUGUGAUGACGCAUAUCAAUAAGCGGAGGAAAAGAAACUAACAAGGAUUCCCCUAGUAACGGCGAGUGAAGCGGGAAGAGCUCAAAUUUGAAAUCUUAAAGGGUUUCCCUUACGAAUUGUAGUUUAAAGAAGUGUUUUCUGUUGGAGUUUCGGUAAAAGUUCUUUGGAAUAGGACAUCAUAGAGGGUGAGAAUCCCGUAUUUGAUCGUUACUUUCCAGCUGUGUGAUACACUUUCAACGAGUCGGAUUGUUUGGGAAUGCAGUCCAAAAUGGGUGGUAAAUUUCAUCUAAAGCUAAAUAUUGGCGAGAGACCGAUAGCGAACAAGUACCGUGAGGGAAAGAUGAAAAGAACUUUGAAAAGAGAGUUAAACAGUACGUGAAAUUGUCAAAAGGGAAGCGUUUGACACCAGUGUUGUUUUUCCGAAAAUCAAUUACGAAUGUUUUGUUUUUGAGAAGUUAUGACUUCAUCGGCUUGCUUCUUUCUUUACGAAACUUUCUUAAUGCACUUUUCGGUUAACAAGUCAACAUCAAUUUCUUUUGUUGUAAAAGGGUACGAGGAAGGUGGCUUUCUUUUCGGAGAAAGUGUUUAUAGCCUUGUACCUCUGCAAUCGGAGAGAUUGAGGUCUGCAGCGUAGAUCCUUCGGGGUUAGAUAAUUUUGUGCUAAGUUAUAGCUUUCAUAGACAACUUGUUGACUAUGUUAAGUCUUGUAGCUUACUCGCUUACUGCUAUUUUACCUACGCUUAGGAUGUUGAGUAGCGACAUACGCACA
This 775-nucleotide ribosomal RNA is filed under the name uncultured Neocallimastigales. Its description in RNAcentral is "partial large subunit ribosomal RNA". It matches the Rfam family "Eukaryotic large subunit ribosomal RNA", at positions 23 to 650 of the family's 3401-position model. Lineage: Eukaryota; Fungi; Neocallimastigomycota; Neocallimastigomycetes; Neocallimastigales. The record is from RNAcentral.